Anas platyrhynchos (mallard) is the source of this 3216-nucleotide non-coding RNA. Lineage: Eukaryota; Metazoa; Chordata; Aves; Anseriformes; Anatidae. The record is from RefSeq and is a predicted model, not a curated record.
GCCCAGCUGACACAGGGAGGUGGCAGCUGUGCCUCCACGCUGCAUGGCUUGGCUAGGAACAGGGCUGUAAACACGAUACAGGGAAGACAACUAUUCACACAGCCACGCAGCCGUCUCAUCUAAGAAGGUGCCAGCACUGAAUCUGGGUGGAAUAUAAAUGCUGUUCCUUUCUGCCUCUUAAAUGAGACCAGUUCAAAAAGUGGAGUUUGCUCAUGGAUGGUCUCAGGAGGAGCAAGAUAUUCCACCCCCUAUGGAGGACUUCACCUGAACUAGAGCAGAGCAAUUAAAUCAAGAUAAGUGGUCACAGCCUGCUAAAGAAACAACAUGAAACGUACAGCGAACUGUAAACAACCAAAUAAAAUGACUCACUGUUACACUAUGAUCAUAUAUUCCCACUAAAGAAAUCUUAGUCCACAGCUUAAGACUCCAUGGUCUCCAAUAUACAUUAACUGUGAUCUAGUCUCUCACUCAUCCUUUACAAACCUAUGCAAAAGAAACCUCUGCAGCAGAGCUUAGUAUACACCAGUAAAAAGUAUUAGACUUUUUGGUGAACGCUGCUGGUGUGGGAGCAGUCUGUUAAAAGCAGUAAGGAAGCAUUUACAGCCUCUGGACCAGGUGCUGGAGCUAAAAAGCAAUAAAAAUGGCUGAGUGAAGACUGGUAGUUUGGACUGGGAGCUUAGCAUUAGCUUCUUAGAGCUAAAGUCUGGAUGGGAAACCAGCAGCAGAAGCAAUGACUGUUGGGAGAUGGUAACUGGAAUGAGCUGUGGUUGGAGGCUCGUGCUGGAACAAGGCUCUUGGGCAGGGAGACAGAAGAGAGCUAGAAGAGUCAGGCAGCCCCGUGCAUGUCAGCUUUUAAUCCUGUCAAGCCUGCAGUGAAGCCAGUGAGUCUUGAGCUCUACCAUUCCUCAGCUGCUAGCAAUUUUCAUGAAACCUCUUGCAGUUUUGCUGCUGUUAAUGGUAAGUACAUCAGACUGACUCGCUGGGUCAGACCAUCUAACCCAAUAUCCUGUCUCCUCCCACAGCCAGAAGUAAAUGCUAAGGGAAGAACACAAGAACAGACCCACAAAGUAAGCUGAUGAAUGGCUGUAAGCCAGCUAACUGUUGGACACUGAGGAUCUUUACCUGCUGGGACCACAGGAAAAAGCAUGAGGAAAAAGAUGUGUCCACCCAUCACCAAUUUGACAAACAAGGGAGCUUCAGGUCUGCACAGAGAUAAUGCCGGGAGAGUGGAAAGUUCCCUGUCAUGAUCAUGCAAUGUGAGGGACUACCUUGUCCUCCAAUUUCUCUAAGGCCCAGAUGAACCAGGAGUCUUUACCCAAGUAGGUAGCAUCAGCAUACAUUUUAUUCUCAUUCAAACCAACAGUGUUCAAACAUUCUCUGAAAUUAACCCAUGCUUAACGGGUUUCAUGAACAAGAACCCCAGCUCCAGAGAAGCACCCACAUGUGCAAACUGCACAGUGUUUGGGAAGCUGUGGCAGACAGCAGACAGGAAGCUGAACUUGGCAAGUCACAAGCUCCAGCAGAAUGGAGAUGCACAGCACUGCCUUCAGGACGCAGAUAAAGUGGCAAGGAGCUGACCAGCUACUUGGUCAUUUCUACAGGCUGAUACACAAUACAGUAUUGUUUCAUUUGAGAGAAUCCCUGCUUACUGUAGGGAAAAGCCCUUCCCUACUUGAUUGCAUCAAGUUUUGUUUGUUUGUUCUUACCAAAGCAUUAAAGUCACCUUCAUUCUGUGAAGAUAACAGAGCAGAAGACAGAGACAAGGCCAGCACUGCUCGCUAGUGCAGCAAGAAAAAGUAAAUUGCUUUCUUUUAGGGCAGAAUUUCACACAGAUGGUGCACAGGUGUUUCCUGUACAUCAUAGUAAUAUGUGAGUAACACACAGGGAAAUUAGUAGGGUGGUUCAUGUCCAUGAGGUUGUCCCCUUCUUAUGGCUUUUUGUCAGACUUUAGUGACUAAAAGUAUGUCUUAAGCUUGUCAGCCUAAGUCCUGCAAUUUCCCAUAGCUAACAGUCAGGAAUCCUUCCCAAACUCAAGGGCUGAAAAGGGAUUAUUCUAGACAUUAUCAAGUAAUUGACUUUCAGCUUUUUUACUUUACAUUUUGACAUUGAGCUCUGAAAUAAGUAAAGCUGGAAACCAUUUCUGUGUUACAUGAAGGGUAAAAGAAAGAGAUAGUAUCCCUUCAAACAGGCUAGGUGUGUAAGAGAUGGCUCUAUCAGCUGAAGAUCAGCAGUAUCAACUACAAACUUCUCCGUCAAAGCUAAUUUUCCAGUCUCCCUGGAGAAGAUCGGUUGUGUACACAUUCCUCUCCAGGCACCUGCACAGGAUGUGGGCACACUCAAGGACAGGAAGGCUUUCUGUUCCCCAAACAUGCAGGUGUGUGCAAAGUCAGGCGUCAGCUCUGCAUUUUCAGGAUCAUUUCAUAUUGCACACGCAGUGCUGUUUUGCUGGAUGUCAGCAAUCUGAAGCUGUUUUCUCACUGAUAGAGUUGUGGUAAAUACGACAGUAAAUGGACGGCUCUGAUGGAUGGUUCCCCUCCAGCUCUUUCAAGAUGGGGGAUUAUCAGUGUUCUCUGCUGCAUUCUCCAAACCACAGCCAAGAAGGGAGGGUUUGGUGAGCACACUCUAUAUUGCACUUUAAUGUGGCUGAGAAAGAAGUUAUUUUUAUUUCAUUAACAGAAACAUGAGCCAAAUAAUAAGAAGUAAGGCAACUGUUGAUGGCUUACUGUUUUCCAGGUUGGUGCUUAUUUUGGUAUUUAUAUCAUAGGAUAAUUGUUGACUUGCCUCCAUGAGCAAAAUGAAGUGACCAGCAGAGACAGACAAGAUCAUGUUAAAACUCAAAUAAGGAGAGACAUGUCAAACAGUAAAAAAAUGCGAAGCAGACAAGCUAAGUAUAUUUAAAGUCAUAAGCAAUUAGUAAUUAAAAGAUAAGAUAAAACAGAAAUAAGGAGUUUGCAAUAUAACUCUUAUCUGGUUCUUGUAAUUGCUUCUAAGCCUGAGGCUGGUGUUUGGGGUCUAUUUCUUUUCCUAAUCCUACCAAAGUAAAAUUUAAUCCUCCCGAGUAGGUCAUUUACAGUCUCAUCUAUGUGAAGACCCUUAAGUAAAUAUCACAGAAUCACAGAAUAAUCUAGGUUGGAAGAGACCUUCAAUAUCACUGAGUCCAACCUGUGACCUAACACUAACAAGUCCUUCACUAAACCAUAUCACUAAGCUCUACAU